This 497-nucleotide ribosomal RNA is filed under the name uncultured bacterium. Its description in RNAcentral is "partial 16S ribosomal RNA". It matches the Rfam family "Bacterial small subunit ribosomal RNA", at positions 29 to 507 of the family's 1533-position model. The record is from RNAcentral.
AGUGAACGCUGGCGGUAUGCCUAAUACAUGCAAGUCGAGCGACAGCACGGGAAGAUUUCUUUUUUGCUGUUAGCGGGGGACGGGUGGGUAACGAAUAGAUCACAUUCCUCUUUUUCUUGGAUAACUUCGUGGAAAAGGUGAUACUAAUAGCUCAUAUUUUGUACCGCUUGAUUCAAAAGUGCUUGGCACUUUUCGCGACACAUUUAGCUGAUUUCGUGCUGCAUUAGCUAGUUGGUAAGGUAACGGCUUACCAAGGCAACGAUGCAUAGCUGACCUGAGAGGAUGAUCAGCCACACUGGAACUGAGACACGGUCCAGACUCCUACGGGAGGCAGCAGUAGGGAAUAUUCGGCAAUGGGCGAAAGCCUGAUGGAGCAACGCCGCGUGAGUGAUGAAGGUCUUCGGGUUGUAAAGCUCUUUUAUUAGGGAAGAAAAGAUGUGGAUGAAACUGUGGAUGUCUUGACGGUACCUAAACAAAAAGCAACGGCUAACUACGUG